RNAcentral lists this ribosomal RNA (253 nucleotides) under uncultured bacterium. RNAcentral's name for it is "partial 16S ribosomal RNA". It matches the Rfam family "Bacterial small subunit ribosomal RNA", at positions 524 to 776 of the family's 1533-position model. The record is from RNAcentral.
UACGUAGGGGGCAAGCGUUGUCCGGAUUUAUUGGGCGUAAAGAGCGUGUAGGCGGCCAGACAGGUCCGUUGUGAAAACUCGAGGCUCAACCUCGAGAUGUCGAUGGAAACCGUCUGGCUAGAGUCCGGAAGAGGAGUGUGGAAUUCCUGGUGUAGCGGCGAAAUGCGCAGAUAUCAGGAAGAACACCCGUGGCUAAGGCGGCUCUCUAGUACGGUACUGACGCUGAGACGCGAAAGCGUGGGGAGCGAACAGG